AACGAACGCUGGCGGCAGGCCUAACACAUGCAAGUCGAGCGAUCCCCUGAUUUCGGUCGGUGGGGAUAGCGGCGGACGGGUUAGUAACGCGUGGGAAUAUGCCCUUUGGUACGGAACAACAGUUGGAAACGACUGCUAAUACCGUAUGUGCCCUACGGGGGAAAGAUUUAUCGCCAAAGGAUUAGCCCGCGUUGGAUUAGAUAGUUGGUGAGGUAAUGGCUCACCAAGUCUGCGAUCCAUAGCUGGUUUGAGAGGAUGAUCAGCAACACUGGGACUGAGACACGGCCCAG
RNAcentral lists this ribosomal RNA (290 nucleotides) under uncultured bacterium. RNAcentral's name for it is "partial 16S ribosomal RNA". It matches the Rfam family "Bacterial small subunit ribosomal RNA", at positions 29 to 334 of the family's 1533-position model. The record is from RNAcentral.